GGGGAAUAUUGCACAAUGGGCGAAAGCCUGAUGCAGCAACGCCGCGUGAGCGAUGAAGGCCUUCGGGUCGUAAAGCUCUGUCCUAAGGGAAGAAAUUUGACGGUACCUUGGGAGGAAGCCCCGGCUAACUACGUGCCAGCAGCCGCGGUAAUACGUAGGGGGCAAGCGUUAUCCGGAAUCACUGGGCGUAAAGGGUGCGUAGGCGGUCUUACAAGUCAGGGGUGAAAGGCUACGGCUCAACCGUAGUAAGCCUUUGAAACUGUAGGACUUGAGUGCAGGAGAGGAAAGUGGAAUUCCUAGUGUAGCGGUGAAAUGCGUAGAUAUUAGGAGGAACACCAGUGGCGAAGGCGACUUUCUGGACUGUAACUGACGCUGAGGCACGAAAGUGUGGGGAGCAAAC
RNAcentral lists this ribosomal RNA (400 nucleotides) under uncultured bacterium. RNAcentral describes it as "bacterial SSU rRNA". It matches the Rfam family "Bacterial small subunit ribosomal RNA", at positions 356 to 773 of the family's 1533-position model. The record is from RNAcentral.